This 369-nucleotide long non-coding RNA is filed under the name Homo sapiens (human). RNAcentral's name for it is "HSALNT0298174". Lineage: Eukaryota; Metazoa; Chordata; Mammalia; Primates; Hominidae. The record is from RNAcentral.
CCAUCCAGCAGCAUUGUGGAGCAGCAGCCUGGGAAGGCAUUGACAUUUUUGCACGUGGUGUUGAUGGUGGAGGUGGGGAGAGGUGUCCUGUGAAGCCAACUUGCACAAAGCUGAUCAUUCAGUGGAGUCCAUUCUCACCAUGAGAAGAACAUUCUACUGUCAGCAGGCAGAGUGAGGAUGGAGACAUCACUGAUUCACUUGGCUAGUUCCAUGUGGGCAUUCCAUGUCCAUGGAUGAAUGGAUAAGUAACUGAUCCACAAGAGGAGGGCUCACGGGCAGAAGAGAUUUGCCUUGCCUCAGAUGACACUUUGGACUGUGGACUUUUGAGUUAAUGCUGAUAUGAGUUAAGACUUUGGGGGACUUAGGAAG